UAAAAAUGAUGAAUUGCCAUGCUAAUACCGAGAAAGUUUGGACUUUCGCUGAGUUAAUUAUUUCAAAUUAUACUGAUUUUU
Small nucleolar RNA from Zerene cesonia (dogface butterfly), 81 nucleotides. The record is from RefSeq and is a predicted model, not a curated record. Lineage: Eukaryota; Metazoa; Arthropoda; Insecta; Lepidoptera; Pieridae.